RNAcentral lists this unclassified non-coding RNA (79 nucleotides) under Epilithonimonas zeae. RNAcentral describes it as "Chryseobacterium zeae Flavo-1 RNA". The record is from RNAcentral. Lineage: Bacteria; Pseudomonadati; Bacteroidota; Flavobacteriia; Flavobacteriales; Weeksellaceae.
AUUGCGCCCCGGCUUGAACGGAGCUCUUUUUGCGGAACAGAGUGGAGCAAAAAAGCGGGAGUGGAAGACGGAAAAGGCG